AUAAACAUGGUUUAACUAUAUACUGAUGGUUAUCAGAGGUGAGGUAAGUGGGGGGAUGGGUGAAAUACGUGAAGGGGGUUAAGAGUACACUUAUCUU
This is a long non-coding RNA of Hyaena hyaena (striped hyena), 97 nucleotides long. RefSeq lists it as uncharacterized. The record is from RefSeq and is a predicted model, not a curated record. NCBI's taxonomy places the organism in Eukaryota, Metazoa, Chordata, Mammalia, Carnivora, Hyaenidae. The transcript is spliced from 4 exons.